CCUACGGGAGGCAGCAGUAGGGAAUCUUCCACAAUGGGCGCAAGCCUGAUGGAGCAACGCCGCGUGAAUGAUGAAGGCCUUCGGGUUGUAAAAUUCUGUCUUCUGUGAAGAACAAGUGUGAGAAGGGAAUGCUCACACCCUGACGGUAACAGAGGAGGAAGCCCCGGCUAACUACGUGCCAGCAGCCGCGGUAAUACGUAGGGGGCAAGCGUUGUCCGGAAUCACUGGGCGUAAAGCGCGCGCAGGCGGCCAUUUGCGUCCGGGGUGAAAGCCCAAGGCUCAACCUUGGGAUUGCCUUGGAUACGGGAUGGCUUGAGGAUCGGAGAGGCAAGGGGAAUUCCACGUGUAGCGGUGAAAUGCGUAGAGAUGUGGAGGAACACCUGUGGCGAAGGCGCCUUGCUGGCCGAUUUCUGACGCUGAGGCGCGAAAGCGUGGGGAGC
This 440-nucleotide ribosomal RNA is filed under the name uncultured bacterium. RNAcentral describes it as "bacterial SSU rRNA". It matches the Rfam family "Bacterial small subunit ribosomal RNA", at positions 338 to 769 of the family's 1533-position model. The record is from RNAcentral.